UGGAUCCAGACUUUGAUCCUGGCUCAGGAUGAACGCUAGCUACAGGCUUAACACAUGCAAGUCGAGGGGAAACGACAUCGAAAGCUUGCUUUUGAUGGGCGUCGACCGGCGCACGGGUGAGUAACGCGUAUCCAACCUGCCCACCACUUGGGGAUAACCUUGCGAAAGUAAGACUAAUACCCAAUGACAUCCCACGAAGACAUCCGAAUGGGAUUAAAGAUUUAUCGGUGAUGGAUGGGGAUGCGUCUGAUUAGCUUGUUGGCGGGGUAACGGCCCACCAAGGCUACGAUCAGUAGGGGUUCUGAGAGGAAGGUCCCCCACAUUGGAACUGAGACACGGUCCAAACUCCUACGGGAGGCAGCAGUGAGGAAUAUUGGUCAAUGGGCGAGAGUCUGAACCAGCCAAGUAGCGUGCAGGAUGACGGCCCUAUGGGUUGUAAACUGCUUUUAUAAGGGAAUAAAGUGAGUCUCGUGAGACUUUUUGCAUGUACCUUAUGAAUAAGGACCGGCUAAUUCCGUGCCAGCAGCCGCGGUAAUACGGAAGGUCCGGGCGUUAUCCGGAUUUAUUGGGUUUAAAGGGAGCGUAGGCCGGAGAUUAAGCGUGUUGUGAAAUGUAGAGGCUCAACCUCUGCACUGCAGCGCGAACUGGUCUUCUUGAGUACGCACAACGUGGGCGGAAUUCGUGGUGUAGCGGUGAAAUGCUUAGAUAUCACGAAGAACUCCGAUUGCGAAGGCAGCUCACGGGAGCGCAACUGACGCUGAAGCUCGAAAGUGCGGGUAUCGAACAGGAUUAGAUACCCUGGUAGUCCGCACGGUAAACGAUGGAUGCCCGCUGUUGGCCUGAAUAGGUCAGCGGCCAAGCGAAAGCAUUAAGCAUCCCACCUGGGGAGUACGCCGGCAACGGUGCAACUCAAAUGAAUUGACGGA
This 926-nucleotide ribosomal RNA is filed under the name uncultured Bacteroidota bacterium. RNAcentral's name for it is "bacterial SSU rRNA". It matches the Rfam family "Bacterial small subunit ribosomal RNA", at positions 1 to 917 of the family's 1533-position model. Lineage: Bacteria; Pseudomonadati; Bacteroidota. The record is from RNAcentral.